UAACGAAUCUUCCGCAAUGCACGAAAGUGUGACGGAGCGACGCCGCGUGUGGGAUGAAGUUCUUCGGAAUGUAAACCACUGUCAGGGGUUAGAAAGUUCUGAUCAACCCCAGAGGAAGGCACGGCUAACUCUGUGCCAGCAGCCGCGGUAAGACAGAGGUGCCAAGCGUUAGGCGGAAUCACUGGGCUUAAAGCGUGUGUAGGCGGAUUCCUAAGUACCUUGUGAAAUCCCACGGCUCAACCGUGGAACUGCUUGGUAUACUGGGUGUCUUGAGCCACUUAGGGGCUACCGGAACAAAUGGUGGAGCGGUGAAAUGCGUAGAUAUCAUUUGGAACGCCAAUGGUGAAAACAGGUAGCUGGGAGUGUGCUGACGCUGAGACACGAAAGCCAGGGGAGCAAACGGGAUUAGAUACCCCCGUAGUCC
This 424-nucleotide ribosomal RNA is filed under the name uncultured bacterium. Its description in RNAcentral is "bacterial SSU rRNA". It matches the Rfam family "Bacterial small subunit ribosomal RNA", at positions 355 to 796 of the family's 1533-position model. The record is from RNAcentral.